GCGGAGGAAAAGGAACCAACAGGGAUUGCCUUAGUAACGGCGAGUGAAGCGGCAACAGCUCAAAUUUGAAAUCUGGCUCCUUCGGGGUCCGAGUUGUAAUUUGCAGAGGAUGCUUCGAGUUAUGGUUCCUUCCGAGUUCCCUGGAACGGGACGCCAUAGAGGGUGAGAGCCCCGUCUGGUAGGAAACCAUGCUCAUGUGAAGCUCCCUCGACGAGUCGAGUAGUUUGGGAAUGCUGCUCUAAGGGGAGGUAUACUCCUUCCAAGGCUAAAUACCGGCUAGAGACCGAUAGCGCACAAGUAGAGUGAUCGAAAGAUGAAAAGUACUUUGAAAAGAGAGUCAAACAGCACGUGAAAUUGUUAAAAGGGAAGCGCUCGCUACCAGACGUGGGUUCGGUGGUUCAACCAGGUCCAUGACCUGGGGCACUCCGCCGGCCCAGGCCAGCAUCAGCUUUCCGUCGGGGGCAAAGGCGUCGGGAAUGUGGCUCUCCUUCGGGGGAGUGUUAUAGCCCGUCGCGUCAUACCCUUCGGGGGGCUGAGGUACGCGCUCCGCAAGGAUGCUGGCGUAAUGGUAGCUAGUGACCCGUCUUGAAACACGGACCAAGGAGUCAACCUUAUGUGCGAGUGCCCGGGCGUAAAACCCCAGCGCGGAAUGAAAGUGAACGUAGGUGAGAGCUUCGGCGCAUCACCGACCGAUCCUGAUGUCCUCGGACGGAUUUGAGUGAGAGCAUAUAGGGUUGGACCCGAAAGAAGAUGAACUAUGCGUGUGUAGGGUGAAUCCAGAGGAAACUCUGGUGGAGGCUCGCAGCGGUUCUGACGUGCAAAUCGA
RNAcentral lists this unclassified non-coding RNA (826 nucleotides) under Verticillium dahliae. Its description in RNAcentral is "sequence contains 28S rRNA gene". It matches the Rfam family "Eukaryotic large subunit ribosomal RNA", at positions 50 to 901 of the family's 3401-position model. Lineage: Eukaryota; Fungi; Ascomycota; Sordariomycetes; Glomerellales; Plectosphaerellaceae. The record is from RNAcentral.